UCUGCAGCGACUUCGAAUGCAUAAGCAGCCCCUACGUGGAGUCCAUAAUGAGGCAGGUCGCGCGGGACAUCUUUGAGCUUCGCGAGGAUAACCGCGCAUUCAGCUGCUACGCCGUCCCCGUGAAGUAUGAGGCUCCUUCCUGAUGAUAAUUUAUAAUUAUAAAUCGAGGAAACUCCAAUAAGUUUCCUUCCUUUUUUUCCUUUCGUUUUUCUCCCUUCUCUGAUUUUUCACUGUGGAGGGACUGGACUUCCGACAAAGGAAAUCACAACAUUGUAUAUGAUUGACUUGUAAUAUGUUAGUAAAUAUAUCUGUACGUUAUGACAAGAGAUAUAACUUGUUUUAGGGCUAGUUUGGUAACUUUAUUUUUUUCAAGGAAUUUUUUCAUUUUUCCGAGGGCAAUUAGUUCAUUUUUUACAGGAAAAAUGUAAAUCCCUUGAGAAAAAUGAGUUGCCAAACUAGCUCUUAUCUAGAUAAUUUGUAGCUCAAAAUUUUACAUCCAACAAACAAGGUGUAUAUAUAUGUAUAUUUACAUGUA
Molecule: long non-coding RNA, 535 nt
Organism: Zea mays
Lineage: Eukaryota; Viridiplantae; Streptophyta; Magnoliopsida; Poales; Poaceae
Exons: 2
Source: RefSeq, a predicted model, not a curated record